UACUCUUGCACAGAUUAUACAUAUACAGAGCGAAUCUAAGAAGUCUUAAAGCUUAUUUUAUUAGAUUUUGUUUUCAGUGUGUAUUAAUUCUAUAAUCUUUCUUUUCACAAAAUAUAAAAAAAAUUCAAAUAAACACAUAAGAAUUUUCACACUGACAAUUAACCCCGGUCAAGUUGCAUUACUUAAGAUCCACUCCCCAAAAACCUUCAAGAUAUCAGAUAAGGAGUGCCUUUCGCUUAGUUGGUCAGUUUCAGUGUCAGGAUAACCUUGUUAUGCAAUUUUCUUGCUGGGCAGAGUAUAGCUGUUUGCAGCUUAUCUAGGUCAAAAUUUGAAUUCAACUGAUGGAAAAGAAGUGCGCGUUUCUUUGCUGUUCAUAUUUCAUGUGUUUUUGAAGCUAUAUACACAAGGAUUAAGGCUGGAAUAUCAACUUCUGCUCAUUCGCUGUAAGGUUCAAUCAACCAGUUAUGCAGGGAAUUGAUUGUAUAGUCAGCCUUGAUUGAAUCAGAUUCUUCUCCCGUGAAAAUUAUACAAAGGAAUGCAACAUUUUGCUUUUGCUUUAGAGGGUGGAUUCUCCUGUUUGUUUCUUUCAUUCCUGGGACUUAACGAU
This is a long non-coding RNA of Saccostrea cuccullata (small rock oyster), 607 nucleotides long. RefSeq lists it as uncharacterized. The transcript has 3 exons. The record is from RefSeq and is a predicted model, not a curated record. NCBI's taxonomy places the organism in Eukaryota, Metazoa, Mollusca, Bivalvia, Ostreida, Ostreidae.